GAUGAACGCUGGCGGCGUGCUUAACACAUGCAAGUCGAACGGAAAGGCCCUGCUUGUGUGGGGUGCUCGAGUGGCGAACGGGUGAGUAAGACGUGAGUAACCUGCCCUUGACUUUGGGAUAACUUCAGGAAGCUGGGGCUAGUACCGGAUAGGUGAUCCCGCUGCAUGGUGGGGGAUGGAAAGCUUGGGCGGUCGGGGAUGGACUGGCGGGGUAUGGGCUUGCUGGUGGGGAAGUGGAUUACGAAGCCAUGGACGGGUAGCCAGCCGGAGAGGGUGACCGGCCACACUGGGACGGAGAUACGGCCCAGACUAAUACGGGAGGGAGCAGGGGGGAAUAUAGCACAAUCAGCGGAAGCCAGAUGCAGGAACGCCGGGUGCGUGAUGGAGGCCUGCGGGUUGUAAACAGCUUUCUCCUGUGACGGAGGGAAAGUGACGGUAAUGUAUAAAAAAGCACCGGCUAACUACGUG
This 468-nucleotide ribosomal RNA is filed under the name uncultured bacterium. RNAcentral's name for it is "partial 16S ribosomal RNA". It matches the Rfam family "Bacterial small subunit ribosomal RNA", at positions 28 to 507 of the family's 1533-position model. The record is from RNAcentral.